UCGCGGAAAGUGGUCGUGUUCUUUGCAAAAUUAAUUCGCGAUGUGAAUUUUGUAAUAAAUUUUCAGAUUUUCUUGAUUAGAUGAGUUCGCGUUGUUUCUUUUUGUAUUAUUCAGUGAAUUAUCGUGUGAUUUAAUGGUUUAGUGGCUAUUUGGAAAGCGAAGGCUCGUGAUACGCGCUUUUUGGGCGUGGCCACCCCCCUUCCCCUUCGGCCACACCCAUUCCCUUUUCUACCUUUCCCUUGUGUAUUGAUCUGUUCGUAACUUUGAUGUAGCGCGUACAAAAAAUGUUUUUUCUUCAAAUCUAUUUAAUGUGGCAUUUCGACUUACAGAUUUUUUAAUAUUCAAUUUAACUUUGAAUUUUGUAUUUGGAAAUUACAUUUUUUUGACAACAAUAUUUUGCAUGCAGUGUAUUUGGUGUGGUGCAAUAGGGUGGUAUAACCCAUAUUAUGGCAACGCUUGGCGAAUUUUUUGCUGUGCAUAAGAAGCGAAAAAUAUGGCUAGAAAGAGAUCAGCUUGGGCGAUCACCAACGAAUGCCCGCGCUAAAUUGAAGUGGAUGAAUACAAGGAGACUGAGAAUUAAUUGAACACGAUAACUCGUUAAUCGUGAUAAUAAUCUGAGAUCGAAGUUAGUAGAAAAACAAUCGGAAUGGAAAUGACUUGAAAAGACAAACUAGAGAUUGAAAUUACAAGCAUUCAAGAAUAAUAAAUUGAAAAAUUUUGAACCGGAAAUCAUUAGAAAUUAAAAUAAAAUCUGGUCAAUCAACCGAAUGAGAUACCAAAAGACAAAAGAAAUACAAAUAAAACAAUAACCAAUUGAAAACUCCAAUUACAAUAGAAGUCUACUCGUUGGCCUUUCUGGCAUACAUAAAAGAAUUUUACGUUGUUCUAAACUUGAAUCGUAAUACGACAAAAUCUUUGAAAAGACCACUUUAUAGCUGACGUUUGGCUCUGUACCCGCCCCUCCUUUCUUUAUCCUUUUUAUUUGUAUCUUUUGUUUCUAGAGCGUCGGUGGCGUAGUAUUUAAACCGGACUUGUAAUAUACAAGUCCGGCUUCGAUUCCCGCCAUGUACCAAUGUGUUAUUCGAAUUUCGAAUUGCAUAUGUACAUUUA
Long non-coding RNA from Papilio machaon (common yellow swallowtail), 1110 nucleotides. RefSeq lists it as uncharacterized. NCBI's taxonomy places the organism in Eukaryota, Metazoa, Arthropoda, Insecta, Lepidoptera, Papilionidae. The record is from RefSeq and is a predicted model, not a curated record. The transcript has 5 exons.